GACGAACGCUGGCGGCGUGCUUAACACAUGCAAGUCGAACGGAAAGGCCCUGCUUUUGUGGGGUGCUCGAGUGGCGAACGGGUGAGUAACACGUGAGUAACCUGCCCUUGACUUUGGGAUAACUUCAGGAAACUGGGGCUAAUACCGGAUAGGAGCUCCUGCUGCAUGGUGAGGGUUGGAAAGUUUCGGCGGUUGGGGAUGGACUCGCGGCUUAUCAGCUUGUUGGGGGGGUAGUGGCUUACCAAGGCUUUGACGGUUAGCCGGCCUGAGAGGGUUACCGGCCACAUUGGGACUGAGAUACGGCCCAGACUCCACCGGGCGGCCGACGUGGGGCGUCUUGCCCCGUGGGCGGCAGACUGCUGCCACAACGCCGCGUGCGGGAUGACGGCCUUCGGGUUGUACCCCGCUUUCGCCUGUGCCGCCGCGUGCGUGCCGGUCCUGGGUCCCGCCGCCCCGGCUCGCUACGUG
RNAcentral lists this ribosomal RNA (468 nucleotides) under uncultured bacterium. RNAcentral's name for it is "partial 16S ribosomal RNA". It matches the Rfam family "Bacterial small subunit ribosomal RNA", at positions 28 to 507 of the family's 1533-position model. The record is from RNAcentral.